RNAcentral lists this ribosomal RNA (740 nucleotides) under Pseudomonas sp. GSI-2. RNAcentral's name for it is "bacterial SSU rRNA". It matches the Rfam family "Bacterial small subunit ribosomal RNA", at positions 73 to 792 of the family's 1533-position model. The record is from RNAcentral. Lineage: Bacteria; Pseudomonadati; Pseudomonadota; Gammaproteobacteria; Pseudomonadales; Pseudomonadaceae.
UGGGAGCUUGCUCCUGGAUUCGACGACGGACGGACGAGUAAUGCCUAGGAAUCUGCCUGGCAGAGGGGGACAACGAUUCGAAAGGAACGCUAAUACCGCCUACGUCCUACGGGAGAAAGCAGGGGACCUUCGGGCCUUGCGCUAUCAGAUGAACCUACCCCGGAUUAACUAGUUGGUGGGGAAAGGCCUACCAAGGCGACGAUCCGUACCUGGCUUGAGAGGAUGAUCGAUCACACUGGAACUGACACACGGUCCAGACUCCUACGGGAGGCAGCAGUGGGGAAUAUUGAACAAUGGGCGAAAGCCUGAUCCAUCCAUGCCGCGUGUGUGAAGAAGGACUUCGGAUUGUAAAGCACUUUAUUUUGGGAGGAAGGACAGUAAGUUAGUACCUUGCUGUUUUGACUGUACCUACAGAAUAAGCACCGGCUAACUUCGUGCCAGCAGCCGCGCUAAUACAAAGGGUGCAAGCGUUAAUCGAAAUUACUGGGCGUAAAGCGCGCGUAGGUGGGUUGGUAGGAUGGAUGGAUGAAUCCCCGGGCUCAACCUGCCUAACUGCAUGCAUUAACUGCCUGGACUAGAGUACGGUAGGAGGGGGGUGGAAUUUCCUUGCGGUAGCGGCGAAAUGCGUGAGAUAUAGGAUGGAACACCACCGGGUGAAGGCGACCACCUCGGACUGAUACUGACUGCUCGAUGUGCGAAAGCGUGGGGGAGCAAACAGGGAUGAAUAUAACCCCUGUCUA